UGGGCAACCUGCCCUCAGCUCUGGGAUAACUCCAAGAAAUUGGGGCUAAUACCGGAUAUGACCGCUGACCGCAUGGUCUGGUGGUGGAAAGAUUUAUCGGCUGGGGAUGGGCCCGCGGCCUAUCAGCUUGUUGGUGGGGUAGUGGCCUACCAAGGCGACGACGGGUAGCCGGCCUGAGAGGGUGACCCGGCCACACUGGGACUGAGACACGGCCCAGACUCCGUACGGGA
This 230-nucleotide ribosomal RNA is filed under the name uncultured bacterium. Its description in RNAcentral is "partial 16S ribosomal RNA". It matches the Rfam family "Bacterial small subunit ribosomal RNA", at positions 118 to 346 of the family's 1533-position model. The record is from RNAcentral.